This 372-nucleotide ribosomal RNA is filed under the name uncultured organism. RNAcentral's name for it is "bacterial SSU rRNA". It matches the Rfam family "Bacterial small subunit ribosomal RNA", at positions 526 to 896 of the family's 1533-position model. The record is from RNAcentral.
CGGGGGGGGCAAGCGUUGUUCGGAAUUACUGGGCGUAAAGGGCUCGUAGGCGGCCAACUAAGUCGGACGUGAAAUCCCCAGGCUCAACCUGGGAACUGCGUCCGAUACUGGAUGGCUUGAAUCCGGGAGAGGGAUGCAGAAUUCCAGGUGUAGCGGUGAAAUGCGUAGAUAUCUGGAGGAAUACCGGUGGCGAAGGCGGCAUCCUGGACCGGCAUUGACGCUGAGGAGCGAAAGCCAGGGGAGCAAACGGGAUUAGAUACCCCGGUAGUCCUGGCCCUAAACGAUGAAUGCUUGGUGUAACGGGUAUCGAUCCCUGUUGUGCCGAAGCUAACGCAUUGAGCAUUCCGCCUGGGGAGUACGGUCGCAGGGCUG